RNAcentral lists this microRNA (22 nucleotides) under Eptesicus fuscus (big brown bat). RNAcentral describes it as "efu-miR-9199". The record is from miRBase by way of RNAcentral. Lineage: Eukaryota; Metazoa; Chordata; Mammalia; Chiroptera; Vespertilionidae.
UACACUGACACCAGGGGGCAGA